Molecule: unclassified non-coding RNA, 590 nt
Filed under: Hevea brasiliensis (rubber tree)
Lineage: Eukaryota; Viridiplantae; Streptophyta; Magnoliopsida; Malpighiales; Euphorbiaceae
Source: RNAcentral
GCCAAACUUAUCAAUUAUCAUCCUUACCAACAUAAUACCAAUGGUAGAACGCAAGAAUGCAGAUAAAGCUUUCCUAUAUAAAGAGUUUAUCAUGUCUCCGAUCCCUUUCACCAAACGCAUCAUUGCCUGUCCAAGAUAUUGGGAUACCUUUGACAAAAUGCUAAAAACCGAGGUAAACCAAUUCCCUUUAGAGUUCACUUCCAAUUCCUUGCCUUCAGUCUGGUUACUUUUUCCACUUGAAUUGUCUUUCGUUACAUGCCCUAAAUUCAGGGGUGCUACAAUUGCAGGGGCAACAAGUAUCAGGGCAGCAACUCGCUCAGGUGCUUCAAAAUAUGCUUCAACUGCUACAAUGGAACCAGCUGAGUGUCCCACUAGAAUUGCCUUCUCAGCUGCUAAGAACUCAAUGAAGUAUAGAGUGGCCAACACAGAGAAUAUCAUGGAGUAUGGAUUAAAAGGUCUUGUGUCUUCACUUCCCUGAGAUGAAUGGUUCGCAUGAUUUAGCCUUGCCGUCAACCCAAAGGCUGGUCUGUCAAAGGCCAGAACUUUUUUCCCAGUGAUUUGAGCCAAGGGCUUCAUAGCUCGAUUCCAUG